GAUGAACGCUGGCGGCGUGCCUAAUACAUGCAAGUCGAGCGAACAGACGAGGAGCUUGCUCCUCUGACGUUAGCGGCGGACGGGUGAGUAACACGUGGAUAACCUACCUAUAAGACUGGGAUAACUUCGGGAAACCGGAGCUAAUACCGGGUAAUAUAUUGAACCGCAUGGUUCAAUAGUGAAAGACGGUUUUGCUGUCACUUAUAGAUGGAUCCGCGCCGCAUUAGCUAGUUGGUAAGGUAACGGCUUACCAAGGCAACGAUGCGUAGCCGACCUGAGAGGGUGAUCGGCCACACUGGAACUGAGACACGGUCCAGACUCCUACGGGAGGCAGCAGUAGGGAAUCUUCCGCAAUGGGCGAAAGCCUGACGGAGCAACGCCGCGUGAAUGAUGAAGGUCUUCGGAUCGUAAAACUCUGUUAUUAGGGAAGAACAAAUGUGUAAGUAACUAUGCACGUCUUGACGGUACCUAAUCAGAAAGCCACGGCUAACUACGUG
This 497-nucleotide ribosomal RNA is filed under the name uncultured bacterium. Its description in RNAcentral is "partial 16S ribosomal RNA". It matches the Rfam family "Bacterial small subunit ribosomal RNA", at positions 28 to 507 of the family's 1533-position model. The record is from RNAcentral.